AAUGGGACCUAACUCACAGUCUCAUAAGAGAAAAGAGAGCAUCACGACCACACCACCAGCUUUAUGAUCCUUUUCUCUAAUGGCUCUGGGUUAUGCGUGUAUGUAGAAGUAGAAGCACAAGAAUUAGCGAAAGAGAGAUAAAAAAGAGAGGAGGAGGAGGGAAAGAAAGAAAAAAAGAGGUUUAUUUUUUAUGGGUUAAGAGGACUGUGCCUCUGUGCUUCCAACAAGCCAACUACAUAU
RNAcentral lists this unclassified non-coding RNA (240 nucleotides) under Hevea brasiliensis (rubber tree). The record is from RNAcentral. Lineage: Eukaryota; Viridiplantae; Streptophyta; Magnoliopsida; Malpighiales; Euphorbiaceae.